GGGGAGGGGUGAACCGGCAGAGUACAGAGGAUUUUGGGGGCAGUGAAACUACUCUGUAUGAUUUUAUAAUGAUGGAUACAUGUCAUUAUACAUUUGUCCAAACCCAUGGAAUGCACAACGCCAAGAGUGAACCCUAAGAAUCAUAUCCAUGGAAGGCUUCAGAUGCUUGUGGAUUUAGAAAGAAAAGGAAGAUCUGGCACUUCUAAUGCUGCUUCAAUGAAAAAGGAAGGCUCCUCCAGCCCCAAAUGCGGUCACACUCCAAAGCCACUUUCUAGGCCUGUCGCCUCCAUCAUAACUGAGAAAGUGAUGACACUGCAGCAAGCUCAGGGUGCUCCUGCAGAAACUGACCUCGGAUACUCGUGUUAGACAAGACACCUUCUCAUCCCAUACGAGCCUUUACAAAUAAAAGAUGUUGACAACACACACUUAAAUAAUAGGAAACAUAUUUUUGGCCAGCGAGUUAGCUUUUUGGUCAGGCUUGAAGACUGUAGCACAUAUUUUGGAAGCUCCGCCAGCAUCCUACCCACUCUCUCCUUCUGAACAGAAUUGUAUUUCCCAGCCUUGCGGUUCGGUUUGGGAUUGGCUUAAGCCAAUCAAUGUAUGUAACCCUGUGUCCACAAUAAUUAUUUCAGAGUUGGGCAUGUGAUUAAAUGAGAUGUGAAAGAAGAUGUUGGGGCUUUGGAGAAAGAAACUUCAGUUGAUAUUGGCCAUUCUCUUGGGAUCACAAAGAACCCCUAGUCAGUCUUAGAAUAAGACAUCAGCCUACAUUACCUAUAAAUCAGAGUGGCAAGAAGAAAAGAAAUUGGUCUGUAAUGACAUUGUUGAGUCAGUGGAUUGAUCUUACCUAAAGCCCACAAUAUCUAUAGACUUUGAAACUCACAGGCAGUAAAUUCUCCUUAUGGUUUAAGCCUCCUGAGUUGGGGUUUCUGUUAAGUAAUAUUCUACUUGAUACUGAGUCAUUAAAGGAAACCCUGGAAAUAUUUAACAGGAGACAAAUUAAUCAGGAAGUUAUAAGCAAACACCUGUCGUAUAUCAGCCAUACCAGGAUGGAAUUGCUGCUCUACCAUUUUACCACUUAUGUGAGCACGGGCAGGUUAUUGGAAGAAAACGUGAAACUCAGUUUCUCAAUCAGGAAAUUGGGGGAAAGUAUAUUGAUCUCAGAGGAUUGUUGUGUAUAUAAUGCUAUAUAACAUAAAUGAAAUUGCCCAGGAGCAAGACUGUUUCCUAGACAGAGAAAUCAAUAAAGAUACAAUAAAAUCACAGAGAAAAGUAAGACUUAUAUUUACCAAGAAAUAAAUUGUGUGUGAAGAAUCUUUCUAAAGUGUACCCAAGGAUGAAGAUGGAUGGAGCCUGGACGGACAGCUAUGGACUCCAGAUUUCAUAAGAAAUCGUAUGGAUGACAGAGAUCUCAGACAUUCCUCGAAUAAAACUUACGUAUAAUUAAAAAAA
Molecule: long non-coding RNA, 1449 nt
Filed under: Equus asinus (donkey)
Lineage: Eukaryota; Metazoa; Chordata; Mammalia; Perissodactyla; Equidae
Description: lncRNA (ENSEASG00005034383.1)
Source: RNAcentral